This 1712-nucleotide ribosomal RNA is filed under the name Escherichia coli. RNAcentral's name for it is "partial 23S ribosomal RNA". It matches the Rfam family "Bacterial large subunit ribosomal RNA", at positions 1 to 1746 of the family's 2925-position model. The record is from RNAcentral. Lineage: Bacteria; Pseudomonadati; Pseudomonadota; Gammaproteobacteria; Enterobacterales; Enterobacteriaceae.
GGGUUGUGAGGUUAAGCGACUAAGCGUACACGGUGGAUGCCCUGGCAGUCAGAGGCGAUGAAGGACGUGCUAAUCUGCGAUAAGCGUCGGUAAGGUGAUAUGAACCGUUAUAACCGGCGAUUUCCGAAUGGGGAAACCCAGUGUGAUUCGUCACACUAUCAUUAACUGAAUCCAUAGGUUAAUGAGGCGAACCGGGGGAACUGAAACAUCUAAGUACCCCGAGGAAAAGAAAUCAACCGAGAUUCCCCCAGUAGCGGCGAGCGAACGGGGAGCAGCCCAGAGCCUGAAUCAGUGUGUGUGUUAGUGGAAGCGUCUGGAAAGGCGCGCGAUACAGGGUGACAGCCCCGUACACAAAAAUGCACAUACUGUGAGCUCGAUGAGUAGGGCGGGACACGUGGUAUCCUGUCUGAAUAUGGGGGGACCAUCCUCCAAGGCUAAAUACUCCUGACUGACCGAUAGUGAACCAGUACCGUGAGGGAAAGGCGAAAAGAACCCCGGCGAGGGGAGUGAAAAAGAACCUGAAACCGUGUACGUACAAGCAGUGGGAGCACGCUUAGGCGUGUGACUGCGUACCUUUUGUAUAAUGGGUCAGCGACUUAUAUUCUGUAGCAAGGUUAACCGAAUAGGGGAGCCGAAGGGAAACCGAGUCUUAACUGGGCGUUAAGUUGCAGGGUAUAGACCCGAAACCCGGUGAUCUAGCCAUGGGCAGGUUGAAGGUUGGGUAACACUAACUGGAGGACCGAACCGACUAAUGUUGAAAAAUUAGCGGAUGACUUGUGGCUGGGGGUGAAAGGCCAAUCAAACCGGGAGAUAGCUGGUUCUCCCCGAAAGCUAUUUAGGUAGCGCCUCGUGAAUUCAUCUCCGGGGGUAGAGCACUGUUUCGGCAAGGGGGUCAUCCCGACUUACCAACCCGAUGCAAACUGCGAAUACCGGAGAAUGUUAUCACGGGAGACACACGGCGGGUGCUAACGUCCGUCGUGAAGAGGGAAACAACCCAGACCGCCAGCUAAGGUCCCAAAGUCAUGGUUAAGUGGGAAACGAUGUGGGAAGGCCCAGACAGCCAGGAUGUUGGCUUAGAAGCAGCCAUCAUUUAAAGAAAGCGUAAUAGCUCACUGGUCGAGUCGGCCUGCGCGGAAGAUGUAACGGGGCUAAACCAUGCACCGAAGCUGCGGCAGCGACGCUUAUGCGUUGUUGGGUAGGGGAGCGUUCUGUAAGCCUGUGAAGGUGUGCUGUGAGGCAUGCUGGAGGUAUCAGAAGUGCGAAUGCUGACAUAAGUAACGAUAAAGCGGGUGAAAAGCCCGCUCGCCGGAAGACCAAGGGUUCCUGUCCAACGUUAAUCGGGGCAGGGUGAGUCGACCCCUAAGGCGAGGCCGAAAGGCGUAGUCGAUGGGAAACAGGUUAAUAUUCCUGUACUUGGUGUUACUGCGAAGGGGGGACGGAGAAGGCUAUGUUGGCCGGGCGACGGUUGUCCCGGUUUAAGCGUGUAGGCUGGUUUUCCAGGCAAAUCCGGAAAAUCAAGGCUGAGGCGUGAUGACGAGGCACUACGGUGCUGAAGCAACAAAUGCCCUGCUUCCAGGAAAAGCCUCUAAGCAUCAGGUAACAUCAAAUCGUACCCCAAACCGACACAGGUGGUCAGGUAGAGAAUACCAAGGCGCUUGAGAGAACUCGGGUGAAGGAACUAGGCAAAAUGGUGCCGUAACUUCGGGAGAAGG